UGUGCUAUUCUAGUCUUUGUUUUAUUUUUUAUUUUUUUCCUCUGCAGUCCCAAGGGUUAGAAAUUUAUUAUUUAUAAAUAAAUGAAAACUGAGUUUCCCACAUCAUAUACAAUUCUGAAAGCUGGACCUUAACACCACCGCCGAGAUACUGGGAGACUCUAGGCUGGACCAGAAAAAUUGGCAGCUCUCUGACAUGUUCAUCUGGAUUGUUUAUGUUUUCCCCACUGGGAGCAAGAGCUUUCUUUGAAGGCAUUGCAUCACUUCUCUCCGGGAGGAACAUUUGGUGAUGGGCAGCUUCUUGCAAAACUAGCCGGAGAGUUUUCAACAAUACGUAGCAGGGCUAAGCUUUCCAACACCGCAUCCAAACCUCCUGUACGGCAAGGAAAGAAAAGAAUGGAUGUAAACAGAAGUGGAAAAACAAUGAGAAGAAUGAUUGCACAAACUCUUUUCAUGUCUUGAAAAAGGUCCAGUCAGGAUGGAAAAUAUCUUGUGAAAAGGAAUAGCCUGUGGAGGAUUCUCUGCCCUCGACUAUAAAAAGGUGGAGAUUUGCGGAAGGGGAAGGCAGAUGCAGCAGGGGGACGCAGAAGAGGUAGGCUGGAAGGGCAGCCCUGGGUCACCCAGCCCGGACCCUCGGUAGCAGCAGCAGCCACGUCACGUAGGUGCAGUUGACACCUGAAUCUUGACUACAUAUAUAAUAACAAAGAGAUGCCUCCAUAGAGAUAUGGAAAUCUGACGUCUGAGGGAGGGAGCUCUGCCAUAAAGCAAUCAACAGGAGGUAGGUACAUCAUCAGCUCUGACACACCGGCGUGAUCUAGGGAUGCUUCUGUAAAACACUCAAGCCAGUGUCAUCAUCCAACAUGAAGCGAUGGAUCAGGGAAUAUUGUAAAGACAUUUCCAGUACUUCAUGUUUCCCUUUUUGGUUUUUGUUUGUUUGGCUUUUUUUUUUUUUUUUUCCCUCAGAUUAUAUGUUAUAUGUUGAUUGAAACCACUGAGUAGAUAGAUGAGUGGUAAGGAAGAAUUUUCAAAUCAAUCAAAGUAAAAGAAAAGGUUUUGGUGAUUUCUUAUUAUAGUUAUCCUCAGUUGCAUAAUGUUGUAUUUUUUUAAAGUAUUCUUGAGACUAAUACUUUCCUGCUCAUGGAGCUGAGACCUUCACCUAUGCCCUUAUCAUCUCUGGCUUCGAUGAUGGUCACAUUUUCUUCUCUGGCUUAUCUAACGCUCAUUCAAAUACAGCUGCCAUAGAUGAUCUUCCUUCCUUGCCACUACAGUUAGAAUUACCCCUCCACUGAAUCAUCAUUUGCAGUGCUAAAGGAGCUUGCUUCUUGUCCUCAGCUUCAAAAGAUGAACUCACCUUCACCUUUUCUUGAUUUUUUUUUUUUUUGUCAUCUCUCAACCUGUUGCUCUUUGCUCUCAUAACAUCUUUGCUAUGGAGAUAUGUCUGUAACAUUUUGAGGUGUGUUUUUGUCCAACAUUGUAGAGUGAGCAUGCUAUUGGAAACAUUGUCUUUCAAGAACCUGAAAAUCUGCUUUGUCCUUAUUUGGGUCCAUUCUCAAGACUUAUGUCCUAUGUCUCUAGGUAUCUCCCUUUAAGAAGAGAAAAUGAUUUGUGAUUGGGAAUUCGUUUUUACACUUAUUUUUAAAACAUGAAAUAUGGUGUGAUGAUGGUCAUGAUAUACAUGUGUCUUAGAUUGAUUCCACAAUAUUAUUACUGUUUAUUGCUUCUGUCAUCCUCGA
This is a long non-coding RNA of Falco peregrinus (peregrine falcon), 1730 nucleotides long. RefSeq lists it as uncharacterized. The transcript has 4 exons. The record is from RefSeq and is a predicted model, not a curated record. NCBI's taxonomy places the organism in Eukaryota, Metazoa, Chordata, Aves, Falconiformes, Falconidae.